UACAGAGGGUGCAAGCGUUGUUCGGAAUUAUUGGGCGUAAAGCGCGUGUAGGCGGCUAUGUAAGUCGGAUGUGAAAGCCCUGGGCUCAACCCAGGAAGUGCACCCGAUACUACGUAGCUCGAGUAUCAGAGAGGACAAUGGAAUAGCCCAUGUAGAGGUGAAAUUCGUAGAUAUGGGCUGGAACACCAGUGGCGAAGGCGAUUGUCUGGAUGAUAACUGACGCUGAGACGCGAAAGCGUGGGUAGCAAACAGG
This 253-nucleotide ribosomal RNA is filed under the name uncultured bacterium. RNAcentral's name for it is "partial 16S ribosomal RNA". It matches the Rfam family "Bacterial small subunit ribosomal RNA", at positions 524 to 776 of the family's 1533-position model. The record is from RNAcentral.